GUGCCUAAUACAUGCAGUCGAGCGAUUCAUUAGGAGCUUGCUCCUAAUGAUUAGCGGCGGACGGGUGAGUAACACGUGGGCACCUGCCUAUAAGACUGGGAUAACUUCGGGAAACCGGAGCUAAUACCGGAUAAUCCUUCUUCUCUCAUGAGAGGAAGCUAAAAGACGGUUUCGGCUGUCACUUAUAGAUGGGCCCGCGGCGCAUUAGCUAGUUGGUGAGGUAAUGGCUCACCAAGGCGACGAUGCGUAGCCGACCUGAGAGGGUGAUCGGCCACACUGGGACUGAGACACGGCCCAGACUCCUACGGGAGGCAGCAGUAGGGAAUCUUCCGCAAUGGACGAAAGUCUGACGGAGCAACGCCGCGUGAACGAUGAAGGCCUUCGGGUCGUAAAGUUCUGUUGUUAGGGAAGAACAAGUAUCGGAGUAACUGCCGGUACCUUGACGGUACCUAACCAGAAAGCCACGGCUAACUACGUGCCAGCAGCCGCGGUAAUACGUAGGUGGCAAGCGUUGUCCGGAAUUAUUGGGCGUAAAGCGCGCGCAGGCGGUUCCUUAAGU
Molecule: ribosomal RNA, 559 nt
Filed under: uncultured bacterium
Lineage: Bacteria
Description: bacterial SSU rRNA
Rfam family: Bacterial small subunit ribosomal RNA
Source: RNAcentral